GACGAACGCUGGCGGCGUGCUUAACACAUGCAAGUCGAACGGAAAGGCCCUGCUUUUGUGGGGUGCUCGAGUGGCGAACGGGUGAGUAACACGUGAGUAACCUGCCCUUGACUUUGGGAUAACUUCAGGAAACUGGGGCUAAUACCGGAUAGGAGCUCCUGCUGCAUGGUGGGGGUUGGAAAGUUUCGGCGGUUGGGGAUGGACUCGCGGCUUAUCAGCUAGUUGGUGGGGUAGUGGCUUACCAAGGCUUUGACGGGUAGCCGGCCUGAGAGGGUGACCGGCCACAUUGGGACUGAGAUACGGCCCAGACUCCUACGGGAGGCAGCAGGGGGGAAUAUUGCACAAUGGGCGGAAGCCUGAUGCAGCAACGCCGCGUGCGGGAUGACGUCCUUCGGGUUGUAAACCGCUUUCGCCUGUGACGAAGAGUGAGUGACGGUAAUGGGUAAAGAAGCACCGGCUAACUACGUG
This 468-nucleotide ribosomal RNA is filed under the name uncultured bacterium. RNAcentral's name for it is "partial 16S ribosomal RNA". It matches the Rfam family "Bacterial small subunit ribosomal RNA", at positions 28 to 507 of the family's 1533-position model. The record is from RNAcentral.